UGUUGGAACAGAACAAAGUUCACAUCAUCAACAACAACAGAGGUGGCAUUUCUACCAAUGAGAGAGACAGGAAGAGAAGAAAGCUAAAGAGACGGAUAAUAAAGAAAGACAGACACAGAGAUAAUCACAACUUUUACCUCUGGACUGAACCGACCCUAUUUUCUCCCUGAGGAAUUAUUCUGUGGAUUAGUGAAACCUGAUGUGACACAACCACACCGACGGAAUUCUAAAACGUUUAAGUCUUGAAGUUAUGUGACUUAAGUACGGACGGACAACUGCCAGGACAACUAUGUAACGGCAGACAUCUGCAAGUAUUUUCCACCUACAUCCAUUCAAACCUGCCUUUUUGAGGAUCCUGAAAAACUUAUGGAGGUGCUGAGUGGCCCCUGGGCUGAUUUGGCUCUGCUUCUUCGACAGACCAUCACACAGACAGACAGAGAGACAGACAGCUUUCUUCCUCUCUGGCUGUUUGGCCUGCUGCUGUUCCUGUCUGUCUCUCUGCUGCUGCUGCAAUUGAUUAUCUACCUCAGCUGGAAACUCAGACAGGUUGAGGCUGAUCUGUCGUCGUUUCCGCAAGACAGAAGCGCCAUCUACCGGAAGAUGUGCGGAUGUACAAACCAGAGCAGGAGUGUUGGGUCGCACUCUCACACCUGACACACACACACACACACACACACACACACACACACACACACACACACACACACACACACACACACACACACACACACACACACACACACACACACACACACACACACACAAGCCUUAAGAAGAUGAAUGUUAAAGCCUGCAA
This is a long non-coding RNA of Sander lucioperca (pikeperch), 796 nucleotides long. RefSeq lists it as uncharacterized. The transcript is spliced from 3 exons. The record is from RefSeq and is a predicted model, not a curated record. Lineage: Eukaryota; Metazoa; Chordata; Actinopteri; Perciformes; Percidae.